Sceloporus undulatus (fence lizard) is the source of this 403-nucleotide long non-coding RNA. RefSeq lists it as uncharacterized. NCBI's taxonomy places the organism in Eukaryota, Metazoa, Chordata, Lepidosauria, Squamata, Phrynosomatidae. The transcript has 3 exons. The record is from RefSeq and is a predicted model, not a curated record.
CAAGACCCAAGUCACAUGGGAGAUAUCCAUGAUGCAGCUGUUUGCCACACUUACAUUAAUGCUAUCAGAAACAGAAGCAGUGGUGGCAUGGGAGAGAGUUAUGUCAUGGACUUUGUCUUCAAAAUACCCCAGUUGAUAUCACAUGAGCAUCACAGUGACGUUCCACAUUGAAAAGUAAGGGCACAGAAUGCCUACCACAAACAAAAUGUCCAAAUGUCUGCAAAGAAUAUGUAUAUCAACACAAAAGCAACAUCAAAUUUACAGUUGGAAGUAUCCAGCAUCACAGAUAAACCUGUGACCAACAAUGCAACCCAACUUAGAGCAGCAAAAUUCCAGCUACCUUACAACUUCCACAACACAGCCUGAAAAGCAACACUUUUCAACUUGUUUUAAACUAUAUAGA